UUUAAAGGGCCGCGGUAAUUUGACCGUGCGAAGGUAGCAUAGUCAGUAGUCUUUUAAUUGGAGGCUUGAAUGAAUGGUUGGACGAGGGACGGACUGUCUUCUUUAUGUGAUUUGAAUUUAACUUUUGAGUGAAAAGGCUCAAAUUAAUUAAUGGGACGAUAAGACCCUAUAAAACUUAAUAUAAAUUUAGUUUAAUUUGUGACAUAAGUGAAAAGUGGUUAUACUUCAUUUAUAUUUCGUUGGGGAGAUGUAGAUAUAAAAGUAACUGUCUAUUAAAUUUAAUAGCCAUAGUUAGUAAUUGAUCCUUCUUUGGGGAUUAAAAGAGUAAGUUACUUUAGGGAUAACAGCGUGAUUUUCUUUGAGAGUUCUUAUCGACAAGGGUAGUUGCGACCUCGAUGUU
RNAcentral lists this ribosomal RNA (400 nucleotides) under Macrobrachium australe. RNAcentral's name for it is "partial 16S ribosomal RNA". It matches the Rfam family "Bacterial large subunit ribosomal RNA", at positions 1922 to 2533 of the family's 2925-position model. The record is from RNAcentral. Lineage: Eukaryota; Metazoa; Arthropoda; Malacostraca; Decapoda; Palaemonidae.